Molecule: ribosomal RNA, 502 nt
Filed under: uncultured bacterium
Lineage: Bacteria
Description: bacterial SSU rRNA
Rfam family: Bacterial small subunit ribosomal RNA
Source: RNAcentral
AACGAACGCUGGCGGCGCGCCUAAUACAUGCAAGUCGAGCGAGAAGACGUAGCAAUACGUUUGUAAAGCGGCGAACGGGUGAGGAAUACAUGGGUAACCUACCCUCGAGUGGGGAAUAACUAGCCGAAAGGUUAGCUAAUACCGCGUACGCUCCUUGGACUUCGGUUCAGGGAGGAAAGCGAUACCGUGGGUAUCGCGCUCUUGGAUGGGCUCAUGUCCUAUCAGCUUGUUGGUGAGGUAACGGCUCACCAAGGCUUCGACGGGUAGCUGGUCUGAGAGGACGAUCAGCCACACUGGCACUGCGACACGGGCCAGACUCCUACGGGAGGCAGCAGUAAGGAAUAUUGCGCAAUGGGCGAAAGCCUGACGCAGCGACGCCGCGUGGGGGAUGAAGGUCUUCGGAUUGUAAACCCCUUUCGGGAGGGAAGAUGGAACGAGCAAUCGUUCGGACGGUACCUCCAGAAGCAGCCACGGCUAACUUCGUGCCAGCCGCCGCGGUAAG